UACGGAGGGCGCUAGCGUUGUUCGGAAUCACUGGGCGUAAAGCGCGUGCAGGCGGUUUAGCAAGUCGGCGGUGAAAGCCCGAGGCUCAACCUCGGAACUGCAGGUGAAACUGCCGGGCUCGAGUCCCGGAGAGGGUGGCGGAAUUUCUGGUGUAGAGGUGAAAUUCGUAGAUAUCGGAAGGAACACCAGAGGCGAAGGCGGCCUGCUGGACGGUGACUGACGCUGAGACGCGAAAGCGUGGGGAGCAAACAGG
Molecule: ribosomal RNA, 253 nt
Filed under: uncultured bacterium
Lineage: Bacteria
Description: partial 16S ribosomal RNA
Rfam family: Bacterial small subunit ribosomal RNA
Source: RNAcentral